AUUGAACGCUGGCGGCAUGCCUUACACAUGCAAGUCGAACGGCAGCACGGGAGCAAUCCUGGUGGCGAGUGGCGAACGGGUGAGUAAUAUAUCGGAACGUGCCCAGUCGUGGGGAUAACGUAGCGAAAGCUACGCUAAUACCGCAUACGAUCUAUGGAUGAAAGCGGGGGAUCGCAAGACCUCGCGCGAUUGGAGCGGCCGAUAUCAGAUUAGGUAGUUGGUGAGGUAAAGGCUCACCAAGCCGACGAUCUGUAGCUGGUCUGAGAGGACGACCAGCCACACUGGGACUGAGACACGGCCCAGACUCCUACGGGAGGCAGCAGUGGGGAAUAUUGGACAAUGGGCGAAAGCCUGAUCCAGCAAUGCCGCGUGCAGGAUGAAGGCCUCGGUUGUAAC
This 396-nucleotide ribosomal RNA is filed under the name uncultured bacterium. RNAcentral's name for it is "bacterial SSU rRNA". It matches the Rfam family "Bacterial small subunit ribosomal RNA", at positions 30 to 429 of the family's 1533-position model. The record is from RNAcentral.